GGUUCUAUGGUGUAAUGGUUUGCACUCUGGACUUUGAAUCCAGCGAUCUGAGUUCAAAUCUCGGUAGGACCU
RNAcentral lists this transfer RNA (72 nucleotides) under Danionella translucida. It matches the Rfam family "tRNA". Rfam says of the family: Transfer RNA (tRNA) molecules are approximately 80 nucleotides in length. Their secondary structure includes four short double-helical elements and three loops (D, anti-codon, and T loops). Lineage: Eukaryota; Metazoa; Chordata; Actinopteri; Cypriniformes; Danionidae. RNAcentral also lists the same sequence under 1 other name. The record is from Rfam by way of RNAcentral.